ACCUCUGUACCCUAAUAUACAGGAGGUAGUGUGUUCCAAGUGCUGAAGAAAUGCAGCUCUUGUUCUUGAGGAGGUAGACCUGCAAACAAUUAUGCCUCGAUGACAUCAUGCUCGAGUGGACGUCUGGGGAAGGAGGCAGCACCUGGGAGAAUUGAAGACAGCCUCAGAUGAGUGGUGAUGCCUCCUCCACAGCUGAAUAUGAAUGAGGAGCUUUUCUGGGGGAUAAAAAUGAGCAAGAGCAAUAGGAGGCACCCUAAAAACAAAGAAUAGGCAUGCAGCAGCACUGGUUUUAGGGUUGGCAAGAUUUGGAAACUCAGAAGUAUUCCUGCUUGAAGAACUCCUUAUAAGGAAACUUCCCUCAUCUCACACACACAAAAAGCAGAGAUACUGAAACACUUGGCUGAGAUAUCAAGUCAUACUAGAAGAGACAAACGUCUGAUGAAAAGAUGGGGAAAGCAUUCUGUGAUGGGCCCCUCAUUCAUCCAAAAAGAAGUGGAGUUGACCCUCAAAAUAUGUCCAAAUAUUAAGUGACAUCAGUCAUUCACACACUUAUCCUGAGUCUCCACUCCUCCCUUCAGCUGAUGAAGAGUGCCAUUCGUCAGACCUUCUGGCAUGGUUCAUAUAUGUUCUGUUGGUGACGACAAAGCAUGCAAACAUGGAAACUUCAGCUCCUUCUUCUCAAUGUUGAUGUUUUCUGUUUUGUCCGGGGACAAGAUCUAGCCACUUCCCCCUUCAGGAACAGUCUGUGCAGUGAGUACGGUGUUAGCAUUUCCACCUCUGCCUUUCCACACAUGAAGAGCUGAGAGUGAAGACUGACUGAUGUGACUUGCCUCGGCUCAGACAGUGGCAGUGCCAGGCUUUGAACUGACGUGCGUCUGCUUCCAAAGGCAGCAUUUUUCCACUGUCUCAUAUUUUAGGCAGGAAGUAGCACACUUAAAAAAUUUUCCUUUCAGAGCUGGGCGGUGGUGGUGCACGCCUUUAAUCCCAGCACUUGGGAGGCAGAG
This is a long non-coding RNA of Myodes glareolus (Bank vole), 1004 nucleotides long. RefSeq lists it as uncharacterized. The record is from RefSeq and is a predicted model, not a curated record. NCBI's taxonomy places the organism in Eukaryota, Metazoa, Chordata, Mammalia, Rodentia, Cricetidae.